Ornithodoros turicata is the source of this 252-nucleotide long non-coding RNA. RefSeq lists it as uncharacterized. The transcript has 3 exons. The record is from RefSeq and is a predicted model, not a curated record. NCBI's taxonomy places the organism in Eukaryota, Metazoa, Arthropoda, Arachnida, Ixodida, Argasidae.
AUUAGCAGAAAGAAACCACCAGUGGAAUCUCUCCUCGAAAACCUGCGCACACUGAAAAGGAAACACAAGCAGAUCCUUCGCAAAAACAAGGCCCUGACAAAGAGCCAGGCUGCAUUGAAACAAAAGCUCACAGAGCAGUGCAAGGCACUGAAUCGUAAGCGCAAGAUCUUCAGCAUCCACUUUCCCAGGCUCAAGUCACGGAUCGAAGACAAUGUAAACGCCCUGCAUACGGUCACUCUGAAUGAAAUCAAA